RNAcentral lists this long non-coding RNA (2191 nucleotides) under Homo sapiens (human). RNAcentral describes it as "HSALNT0402209". The record is from RNAcentral. Lineage: Eukaryota; Metazoa; Chordata; Mammalia; Primates; Hominidae.
GGCCUCCCAAAGUGCCGGGAUUACAGGCGUGAGCCACUGCAGCCAGCCUUGGAAGAAAUUUAAAUGCAUGUUACUAAGCAAGAGAAGCCAACCAAAAAUGCUACAUACUGUAUUACUUCAAAUAUGUGGCAUUCUGGAAAAGGCAAAACUUUUUGGAGACAGAAAAAGGAUCAGCGGUUGCCAGGGUUUAGAGGGAGGGCAGGAUGCAUAGGUGGCACACUGAGGAUAUUUAGGGCAGUGAAACUGUUCUGCAUGACACGGUAAUGGUGGAUGCAUUCCAUUAUACAUUUGUCAAGACCUAUAGAAGGUCUACCACCAAGAGUAAGCCCUACGUAGACUAUGGACUUUGGGUGAUAAUGACCUGUCAAUGUAGGAUUAGCAAUAGUAACAAAUGCACUGCUUUGGUGAAGGACACUGAUAAUGGAGGAGGCUGUGCACAUGUGGGAACAGGGUAUAUAUGUGGGGAAUCUCUGUAUCUUCCACUCAAUAUUGUUAUGAGUCUAAAACUGCUCUAAGAAACAGUCUAUUCUUUAAGAAAUAGGAGAAAAGAGGAGAAGAAAGAGGGGGCGGGGGAAACAGGGAGAUCUGUAGGCUCCUGCGGAAGGUCAUUGCAAAAUACUGGUGAUUCCAGGGAAGGUUGGAACAGCCUCUUUCUGAGAAAAAAUGAGUGUGGCAGAUGUCAGCAGAUACAAUCAUCCUCUGCCGCCUGCUGCUCUUCCUUUAUUCUUGGGUCUCUGAGCUUCUCUUUCUUGUCUGAACCCCUUUGCACACAAGGAUUAGCCAAUCAGAAUGCUUUCUCCCACUGGCAACAGUGAAGACUCCAUCCUGGAGAAUCAGAACCUUCUCUAGGAUUUUUGUUGAACUUUCAACUGUUGGUUGAAAUGGUUGCCGUGGAGAUGGUCUCAGCCUAGAGCGGCUGCUGUUCAGCUUUGGCCCCUGAAGGGAGAACACAUCUGAGGAUGAAGAAUGGUUGAGGCAUUUGUUCCUCUGGUUUUCUCUCUGCUCCAGUGCAGCACUGGGGCAGAAGUGGUUCCUCCAUUAUUAGCAGCCCAGGGUUCUUUCAACCUGCCUACAUCUGGAAAAUACCUCCUUAUCAAACUCUUCAUCACCAGUGUCAGUUCAUGGUCAGUUUCUUUCCUGAGCCCUGACCCACACCCAGGGAAAGGCCAACCUUCCGUGGCCAAGAUGAAGCCUCUUCCACUGUCAGCUGGGCACUUCUAGGGGCUGUGAGCGCUGAAGAAUGGAGAGAUUCAGGCCAUGUGUGUGGCUCUACCUCCUGAGAAACAGGCGUUAUCAGGCCUGGGCUUUGCUCACAGCACCUGCCGGCUCCUGGGAAGAAGCCACAUCUGCCUCGAACUGCCCUGACUGCCUUUGUUACGAUACCUACCCGUGGCUUGCUUGUGCCAACUCUGAAAACACAGGGCUGCCUGAGGGAGCUCUCGUGUUAGCAAGCAGCAGCUCGUGGGUAAGGAAAGCCCCUUCAUUUAUUAACAUUAAAGUGAUUGCAAACUCGUAGGUGAGAUACUUAUGCAUUGGGCUCUGUCUGGAUAAUUCACCUGUAUUAACUCAGCCGAUCCUCUUAACUCCAUAAGGAAGGAAUCCUUAUUGUCCCCAUCUUAAAGACCUCCGAAACGAAACCAGAGAUACUGAAUGAUUUGCCUGGGAUGACUCCGCUACCACUUGGCACAGCCACGGUGCAAACCCAGUUGGGCUGGCACUGAACACCCAGACUGUAGAUCCCUCCUGCCUGACUCAAGAGCCUCUGUCUAUAUGGAAGCAAUCAACUUAAGGUCACAAGAGGCCCAUUUCAGAAUGGGUUCUGUCCCACACUCUGGAGGAAGGAAUGCUGUAUGAGGAGGCCUAGAAGAAUCUGAACAGACAGGCUUUACUGGAGUUCCCCACUCGGCCCGUUAGUAUUAGACCAGAUCUUUUUGUCCAGUCACAUUUCUACGUGGUUGCCUAUCAAAGAAGUCUCUAUAAAAAGUCCAAGAGAACAGGGUUUGGGGAGCUUCCAGGAGGCAGGAAGGUGAACAAGAAUUCAUCCACAUGCCAGACAGCUGGUGCAUCCCAAAUCCAUGGAGACAGAAGCUCCUGCACUCAGACCCUUCCAGACCUCACCCUACAUGUUUCUUCAUCUGGCUGUGUAUUUGUAUCCUUUGAAAUAUCCUUUGUAAUAAACUGUUAAACAUAA